Molecule: ribosomal RNA, 426 nt
Filed under: Megaselia striolata
Lineage: Eukaryota; Metazoa; Arthropoda; Insecta; Diptera; Phoridae
Description: partial 16S ribosomal RNA
Source: RNAcentral
UUUUAGAAUUUAAUUUAAAGUCUAACCUGCCCACUGAAUAAUUUUAAAUGGCCGCAGUAUCUUAACUGUGCAAAGGUAGCAUAAUCAUUAGUCUUUUAAUUGAAGGCUGGAAUGAAUGGUUGGAUGAAAUAUUAACUGUUUCAUAAAAAUUAAUAAUAGAAUUUUAUUUUUUAGUCAAAAAGCUAAAAUUUAAUUAAAAGACGAGAAGACCCUAUAAAUCUUUAUAUUAGUUUAAUUUUAAUUAUAUAGAUAAUUUAAAUUAUAAUUAUUUUUAAUAUUUUAUUGGGGUGAUAUUAAAAUUUAAUAAACUUUUAAUUUAUAAUUUACAUAAAUUAAUGAAUUAUUGAUCCAUUUAUUAUGAUUAAAAAAUUAAGUUACUUUAGGGAUAACAGCGUAAUUUUUUUAGAGAGUUCAUAUUGAUAAAAA